Molecule: ribosomal RNA, 253 nt
Filed under: uncultured bacterium
Lineage: Bacteria
Description: partial 16S ribosomal RNA
Rfam family: Bacterial small subunit ribosomal RNA
Source: RNAcentral
UACGAAGGGUGCAAGCGUUACUCGGAAUUACUGGGCGUAAAGCGUGCGCAGGCGGCUUCUCAAGUCAGAUGUGAAAUCCCCGGGCUCAACCUGGGAACUGCGUUUGAAACUGGGAGGCUAGAGUGCGGCAGAGGGGGGUGGAAUUCCACGUGUAGCAGUGAAAUGCGUAGAUAUGUGGAGGAACACCGAUGGCGAAGGCAAUCCCCUGGGCCUGCACUGACGCUCAUGCACGAAAGCGUGGGGAGCAAACAGG